This is a long non-coding RNA of Sinocyclocheilus anshuiensis, 345 nucleotides long. RefSeq lists it as uncharacterized. The transcript has 3 exons. Lineage: Eukaryota; Metazoa; Chordata; Actinopteri; Cypriniformes; Cyprinidae. The record is from RefSeq and is a predicted model, not a curated record.
UGAUCUGAUAUGGGAUAUCGCACAGGGCUAUGCACCGCCUCCUAAGAAUGGUGUGGAGCAAAAAAGACCCGGCAGACCGCUGAACAUCACGUCGCUGGUCAGGUUGUCAUCCGCUGUACCCAAUCAGAUAGUAGUCACGUGGGCACCUGAAAUAGGAAAGACAUACUCCAUGUCAGUUUACUUGGUGCGGCAGCUGACCUCUCCACUGUUGCUACAGAGAUUAAGAAUGAAGGGGAUCAGAAACCCUGACCAUUCCAGAGCUUUAAUUAAAGAAAAACUCACGGCAGACCCUGACAGUGAAAUCGCCACAACUAGUUUACGAGUCUCACUCAUGUGCCCAGUAAG